Molecule: transfer RNA, 65 nt
Filed under: bovine gut metagenome
Also listed under: 1 other name
Rfam family: tRNA
About the family: Transfer RNA (tRNA) molecules are approximately 80 nucleotides in length. Their secondary structure includes four short double-helical elements and three loops (D, anti-codon, and T loops).
Source: RNAcentral
AGUGUGGCUCAAUGGUAGAGCAGCUCAUUCGUAAUGAGCAGGUUGGGGGUUCGAUUCCCUUCACU